GGGGAUAAUAGAGGCUAGCCUUUCCCACCUCAAUCUCCCACUUCUUCGCACCACCUUUUGGGCUAAUGGAACUUGUUCCACUUGCUCGGUGUUCUCAGAUAAUGUGGAGGUGAUUUCCCCAGACAAAGAGUUUGAGUCCCUGCUAUUUUCCCCUGCAUACAAGAGUUUUACUGGAUCACAUACAAAGCAAGGAGAACAAAAUGCAACAAUGAAGCUCAGCGUUUAGUUUCUUACCUGCCGCGUCAUUGUUGGAUGGCAACUCCUCCUCACUUUCGCUCUGGUCCUCUAAGGCACUUGAGCAACUCUCAUUACUCCCUUCUUUAUCCGACAGCUCUGGCGAGUCAUCUUGAACGUUAUCCACUUUCCGCAACUGAUCCACGAUUUCUUCGCCUGGAUUGGAACUUAGA
RNAcentral lists this long non-coding RNA (407 nucleotides) under Linum usitatissimum (flax). RNAcentral describes it as "long non-coding RNA (LUSI_LNC001455)". Lineage: Eukaryota; Viridiplantae; Streptophyta; Magnoliopsida; Malpighiales; Linaceae. The record is from RNAcentral.